Molecule: ribosomal RNA, 1351 nt
Filed under: Lactiplantibacillus plantarum
Lineage: Bacteria; Bacillati; Bacillota; Bacilli; Lactobacillales; Lactobacillaceae
Description: bacterial SSU rRNA
Rfam family: Bacterial small subunit ribosomal RNA
Source: RNAcentral
AAAGAUGGCUUCGGCUAUCACUUUUGGAUGGUCCCGCGGCGUAUUAGCUAGAUGGUGGGGUAACGGCUCACCAUGGCAAUGAUACGUAGCCGACCUGAGAGGGUAAUCGGCCACAUUGGGACUGAGACACGGCCCAAACUCCUACGGGAGGCAGCAGUAGGGAAUCUUCCACAAUGGACGAAAGUCUGAUGGAGCAACGCCGCGUGAGUGAAGAAGGGUUUCGGCUCGUAAAACUCUGUUGUUAAAGAAGAACAUAUCUGAGAGUAACUGUUCAGGUAUUGACGGUAUUUAACCAGAAAGCCACGGCUAACUACGUGCCAGCAGCCGCGGUAAUACGUAGGUGGCAAGCGUUGUCCGGAUUUAUUGGGCGUAAAGCGAGCGCAGGCGGUUUUUUAAGUCUGAUGUGAAAGCCUUCGGCUCAACCGAAGAAGUGCAUCGGAAACUGGGAAACUUGAGUGCAGAAGAGGACAGUGGAACUCCAUGUGUAGCGGUGAAAUGCGUAGAUAUAUGGAAGAACACCAGUGGCGAAGGCGGCUGUCUGGUCUGUAACUGACGCUGAGGCUCGAAAGUAUGGGUAGCAAACAGGAUUAGAUACCCUGGUAGUCCAUACCGUAAACGAUGAAUGCUAAGUGUUGGAGGGUUUCCGCCCUUCAGUGCUGCAGCUAACGCAUUAAGCAUUCCGCCUGGGGAGUACGGCCGCAAGGCUGAAACUCAAAGGAAUUGACGGGGGCCCGCACAAGCGGUGGAGCAUGUGGUUUAAUUCGAAGCUACGCGAAGAACCUUACCAGGUCUUGACAUACUAUGCAAAUCUAAGAGAUUAGACGUUCCCUUCGGGGACAUGGAUACAGGUGGUGCAUGGUUGUCGUCAGCUCGUGUCGUGAGAUGUUGGGUUAAGUCCCGCAACGAGCGCAACCCUUAUUAUCAGUUGCCAGCAUUAAGUUGGGCACUCUGGUGAGACUGCCGGUGACAAACCGGAGGAAGGUGGGGAUGACGUCAAAUCAUCAUGCCCCUUAUGACCUGGGCUACACACGUGCUACAAUGGAUGGUACAACGAGUUGCGAACUCGCGAGAGUAAGCUAAUCUCUUAAAGCCAUUCUCAGUUCGGAUUGUAGGCUGCAACUCGCCUACAUGAAGUCGGAAUCGCUAGUAAUCGCGGAUCAGCAUGCCGCGGUGAAUACGUUCCCGGGCCUUGUACACACCGCCCGUCACACCAUGAGAGUUUGUAACACCCAAAGUCGGUGGGGUAACCUUUUAGGAACCAGCCGCCUAAGGUGGGACAGAUGAUUAGGGUGAAGUCGUAACAAGGUAGCCGUAGGAGAACCUGCGGCUGGAUCACCUCCUUUCUAAGGAA